ACAUCCUAGAAGGAAUGUUAGAAGUCAGAGUAUUCUAUCAAGAUCCUGAAAGAGGAAUAUUGCCAGGAUUUGUUCACCAAGACUGGUUAAUGGAUAAAGAUUAAUCUCUUCACACUACCCUUGAGGACCAGCCUUUUUUGGCACACUUGAAAAUGAGAGCUAUGGCAAAGACAGAGCCAAAAGUGUGCAGGGCUUCCUGUGACAGAAAACUUCUCUACGCUUGAAACAGUGAAGGCGCUACUCAGAUUCUGCGUUCUUCAGAGCUGCAUUUGCCAGCAUGAAGGUAAAAUAAGAGCAACUGUUUAAUACAAAUAAGACUGUUAUUCUUGGCUUAUUAUGAAUGGACAACCCGCUGUUUUGCUCUCAGUCAAUGAAGUGUGAAUUCACUUGGAAAGCCACUUGGCCACCUAAUCCGUUAAAAAUAGCCAAAAACUUUCUUAACCUGUAAGUAUUUUCUUCCUCUGCUCUAUUAACACAAGGGGAAAAAAACCCACCAAGAUUAGCUAAUGAAAAUCUAUCACAAUAGCAAUCACAACAUUACUUUCAAGAGGGAUAUGCAUGGGUCAAAAUAAACAAUGUAAUUUUCAGCUAAUUGCAAACGUGCUCUGAGCUCGUGAAGAAAACAUGGCAUAUUUAGUCCUGGCAUGAAUGAAUCCUGCUCUGAUGAAACUUUGACCUCAUUGUUUCUGAUGGCCUGAGUAGCCAGAGUUAUCGGGACACAGCCUUGGAUGGGAUGAGUCAUUCCCUUGCAACACCUGUUUCUCUCCACUGACUACCAAGGAGAAACCAAGACAACCAGCUCCAAAGCAGAAGUCUGUAUUUGGACAGGCAAAUCCUUCCUGCUCUGUUUCUUCCCAAGCACAGCAUGCAGUUCACAGAUUAACCAACUACUACCAACUACUAUAGGAUCUGAAGAGCCUGGUGUACCUGCACAGUCUGGGGAAUUUCCUCAAAGAUCAUAACCUCAAAAACACAAAGAGGCUGAAAAAUCUACCAUUGACCUAAGGCAGCAGCAGUCUGACUGGAAAGGAACAGAUUUCUUGAGGACUGUCCAGUCUAUAAACAGCCAACCACAUAAUUCAGUGACACACUGAAAAUCGCUAGACACGACUCAAAAAUCUUCCUCACCUUGCUGACAGGAACAUUCCUGGGCCAACUCUUCUGGCCACGAGUACUCUCCUCAUCACUGGAUAUGAGCUGCGUUGUUCACAGCAACCUAUGCCAAUAGACUCCUGACUCCUCUAGGUUAUGAGGCAAAUCUCAGGUUUUCACAGAUCAGCCAGACCAGGCUCUUCACUUCAAAAAGGUCAAAAGUCUUCAAAUCAUCUUCAAGUUCCCAUAUGACUAUGGGAAUUAAUAUAUGGGUAUAUUUUGAAAAGUCAGCAGGAUUUUCAUUCCCAAGUCAAAACUAUUACGUGAGCAAAGAAAACAUUUUCCUGUACAAACUAUCUUAUGUCCCGUACUAUCCUAUUCAAACAGCAUUUCAAGCUAUGUUUGGAGACAAACACCACCGCUGAUAACUCACAAAUGGGUAAUAUGACACAGAGCGCUUUAAGAGUAUUACUGUAUUCCAUUCUAAUGCCACUGAAACACUCCAUUUUACAAAAUGGGAAACUGAGAUGCAAAAGGGCUAUUACUGUACUGCAUUUGUAAUUUCACGUUAUGUAAAAAAGUACAGACCUGCUGUUGCAGAAAUAAUGCAAGAGGAUUUAGAAUUUGCAUUUGCUCACAGUGUCACCGAAGAUCAUGUACAAAAUGAAAGGUUAUUUUUGUUCAAAAUGAGUCAGAAAAGACCAUGACACAAUAAAAAAUUUGUCAGCAAGA
Phalacrocorax carbo (great cormorant) is the source of this 1824-nucleotide non-coding RNA. The record is from RefSeq and is a predicted model, not a curated record. NCBI's taxonomy places the organism in Eukaryota, Metazoa, Chordata, Aves, Suliformes, Phalacrocoracidae.